GUCUGAAUGAUCUAAUUUUAUUUCGUUCCAACAGGUGCGCAUUCUAGUGUUGACAUCCCACAAUGACAAGCCUUUGUUAACUGUUUCCUCAUUCUGAUGUUGCUGUCCUGUGUAAACUGCGCUUAUACGAUUAGUAUUGGCAAUCUAUUUUUUACAAGCUUCCGGAACCAUACUUUCUGUAUAAAUUGUAGUAUCACGUGAAUGGUCAUUUUUCGCGGGUUAAUUUCCCUAUCAGACCAUUCUCUCGCCAACUUCGAACUGGUCAAGUUCAGAUUUAUAGUUGGUUCAUUAUUGUUUGAUUUUUUUCUUGUUUUUGUACUAUAUAUUGGUAUUUUUUGUUUGCUAUUACACAUUUUUAUGAUAUUUUGUUUAUGUAAACAUAAGCUAACUUUUAGUAUUGUCCAAGUACACCUCUCGAGACGAUCUUCCGAGCAUUAGGGUUUGGACACAGGUUUCCAUAUCGACUAAGGUAACUUGAUUGUUGGUUUUUCCUGGCCGGCAGGUUCGUUUAUGACGGAGUCAAUGUUUUGAUUUGGUAUUGAAAGCAUUGUUUAUAUGUAUAUAGAUAUUAUUUGCAUAAAAUACUAUGUUUGUUAUGAUAGAUUAUAAUAAAAUCCGGUGUCCUACUAGUCUCGUGGGCGAUCGGCUCUAGUCUUGUGGGCGAUCGGCAAUUAUAAAUUGUGUUUGAUAUAUUUAUUGUUAUAUAUAAGUAUAGUGUGCGUACGUAACUAUAUAAACAGAUAAACAAUCAAUAUCUAUUAUAAUGGAUACAGUAGCCCAGUUUUAUAUAAAACUUGCGAUUUAGGCGGACACAGCUGGACACAACGUUAUUUCUGAAUGAAAUUUCUAUAAUUUGGGGGGGGGGGGUUACAGGCGGACACAAGAGGACACAACGUUAUUUCUUUAUAAAGCUUCUAUAAUUGGGGGAUACAGGCGG
This 937-nucleotide long non-coding RNA is filed under the name Mytilus galloprovincialis (Mediterranean mussel). The record is from RNAcentral. Lineage: Eukaryota; Metazoa; Mollusca; Bivalvia; Mytilida; Mytilidae.